This is a long non-coding RNA of Myxocyprinus asiaticus (Chinese sucker), 3726 nucleotides long. RefSeq lists it as uncharacterized. Lineage: Eukaryota; Metazoa; Chordata; Actinopteri; Cypriniformes; Catostomidae. The record is from RefSeq and is a predicted model, not a curated record. The transcript has 3 exons.
CCGCCUGCCUCAGCGACCUCAGAAUGGCUCUCAGAUGCUGCAUAUGCCUCUGUCAAUCAUUACUUUAUAUAAUGAUGUCGUCUAAAUAGGCGGCGGCAUAUGCAGCAUGUGGCCAGAGAAUCUUAUCCAUGAGGCGCUGGAACAUGGCGGGAGCCCAGAACAAACCGAACGAAAGAGUGAUGAAUUGGUGUAAUCCGAUUGGUGUGGAAAAGGCAGUUUUUUUCUCAGGAUAAUGGAGUUAAGGUUAGCUGUCAAUAUCCCUUAGUUAAAUCCAGUGUCGAAUAAAAUUGAGCCGCACCCAACCAAUCGAGCAGUUCGUCAAUUGGGCAUUGGGUACGCAUCAAAUUUAGACACCGCAUUGACUUUCCGGUAACACUGAACCGGACUGUCCCAUCACUCUUAGGUACAAGAACAACUGGGCUGGCCCAAUCGCUGUGCGAUUCUUCUAUUACCCCCAUUUUGAGCAUUGCCUCUAAUUUGUCCCGAAUCACCUUUUUCUUGUGCUCAGGUACGCGGUAUGGCCGACUACGCACAGCCACUCCCGGUGGGGUCUCAAUAUGGUGUAGUAUGAGGUUAGUACAACUGGGAAGAGGAGAGAACACGUCCGCAAAUUCUUUUUGCAACCUGCCCACCUCUGUGAGCUGGGACGGUGAGAUGUGGUCUCCACAAGGGACCGGGGUGAAUGGAUCGACUUUGAACUUAACCUCCGGCCAGAGCUCCACUCUCUCCGGAACUGCUGUCGCCAUGGACACAGGGACCGACUCUCUCCAUAAUUUAUGGAAGUUGAGGUGGUAAAUUUGAGGUGCUCCGCCUCUAUCCUUUCGUUUAACCUCAUAAUCGAGGUCCUCAACUCGCCGUGUAACCUCAAAGGGUCCUUGACACUUGGCGAAUAAUUUUGAGCUUGACGUGGGGAGUAAUACUAGUACUUUGUCUCCCGGUACAAAUUCCCAUGGCUGGGCAACCCUAUUAUAGAUCCGGCUUUGUGUCUCUUGAGCUUGGAGCAACUGACCCUGCUGUGACAACUGACCCAGUGUGUGUAGAUUUGCUCAAAGAUCAAGGACAUAUCAAAUUUCAUUCUUGCUUUGCGGGGUAGACGUCCAUACAGAAGCUCGUAGGGGGAAAAUCCCAUGGAGGCUUGCGGGACCUCCCUGACUGCAAAUAAUAAGGGUUCAAGCCAUUUGUCCCAAUUUCUAGCAUCCUCGUGUACGAACUUGCGAAUCAUAUUUUUCAGGGUUCGAUUAAAUCGUUCCACCAGCCUGUCAGUUUGUGGGUGAUAAAUGCUGGUGCGAAUUGUUUUAAUCCCCAGUAAUUCAUAAAGUUCGCGUAGUGUACGUGACAUAAAUGUUGUGCCUUGGUUGGUGAGGAUUUCUUUCGGAAUCCUCACCCGGGAGAUAAUUUUGAAGAGUGCCUCCACAACACUGCAUGCUGAGAUGUUGCAAAGAGGCACUGCUUCCAGAUAUCGUAUUGCAUAAUCCACCAGGACUAAUACAAACUGAUAUCCGCGUGCUGACCAUUCUAAUGGCCCGACAAGGUCCAUACCAAUUCUUUCAAAGGGGGCCUCGAUUAAUGGUAAUGGGUGCAAUGGCAUUCUUGGGGUGGCCGGCGGAUUCACCAGCUGACAUUCACGGCAUGCCGCACACCAUCUGCGUACAUUCCCGCAAAUGCCCGGUCAAUAAAAGCGGGCCAUUAAACGGUGCAUUGUUCUUUCCUGUCCUAAGUGACCUACCACAGGAAUGUGGUGAGCCGCCUGGAAAAGUGUUUCCCGAUGGCUCCUCAGGACUAAUAACUGGGUUGUAUUUUCAUGGGUUUGAGUGUCCUGCGUCACUCGAUACAACCGGUCCCUAAUAAUCGAAAAAUAUGGAUAUGUGAGGGCGAUGAAAGGCUGGAGCUGCUGGCCAUAGAUUACUCUUACUUGGACGAAGGCAUGCCUAAGGGUUUCGUCAUGCGACUGCUCAAGAGGGAAAUCCCCCUCCGGGAACUCCCUAAGGGCGGGAAUGCCGGAGGAUUCCCCCCCGCGUCAUUCUGACGCUGAGCAAACGUGGAUGGCCCCGGCACCGCCUCCCCAGCCAUCGCGUCACACAUCACACACCGAGAUCUUGGUUUGCAGGACCCAUCCACACACAGCGCUUUUAAUAACCUCUUAAACCCCGGCCAAUUUGUUCCCAGAAUUAGUGGAUGGGUGAGGCGGGAAUUAACCACAGCCCCACUCUAUGAUUUACCCCCCGAAAUUAAAUAACGGUAGUCACUACCGGAUAUUUGUGAACAUCCCCAUGUACACACCUCACCAUCACCUUGUGUUUUGUACCCAAAGCCCCAUCAUGAACCAAGCCGUGGUGGAUCGAGGUUUGAUUACAGCCCAAAUCCACCAGGGCUUGGUAUGUACACCCCUUAAUUUUUACUAGUAUACGGUACAUCCCUGCUCGAUUGGGACCAGUCUGUGGCGUGUCAGUACCUGGAUCCACGUUUCCGGGGAGCGGGUAUAUGGUGAGAGGGAGGAGAGGGUGGGACAAGAGGAUUAGAAGCAAGAGAGAGAGAGAGAGAGUUGGACUGCUGCUCGCCGGCUUCCGGGUAGGCCGCCAUGUGGGCUUCGGCCAGCUGGAUGGCAUCAUCCACCGACGUGGGACGAUGGCACUGGACCCAUUUCGCAGUUCUUCUGGGCAGGCGAACAGAUAUGUAGCAGGGUGUAUUGAAUCUCACCGGUUUAUGACAUAAAAAUAAUUAAAAUCUAGGAAAGUGCGCAGAGCUCGCCGUUUACACGUCAGUUCCUCGCAUGGUGUCAUGUGACUCCCCCACUCAGCCCCUAUUGACCCAGCCACUGGCCACCCAGCCUCUGGAGACCCAGCCACUGGCCGCCUAGCCUCUAGUGACCCAGCCACCAGCCACCCAGCCCCUAGUGACCCAGCCGCCCAGCCCCUAGUGACCCAGUCACUGGCCACCCAGCCUCUGGAGACCCGGCCACUGGCCGCCUAGCCUCUAGUGACCCAGCCACCCAGCCCCUAGUGACCCAGCCACCGGCUGCCCAGCCCCUAGUGACCCAGCCACUGGCUGCCCAGCUUCUGGAGAACCGGCCACUGGCCGCCCAGCCUCUAGUGACCCAGCCUCUAGUGACCUGGCCACUGGCUGCCCAGUCUCUCUGCCCCUAACUCUGACUAUCUCCAAAGGAAAGCAAAGAAAGAAAAUGUGCUUCCUUCAAAGAUUGCACGGUGCAGUCAUCAAUGGAUGUCUUUCAAUAUGAAAAAUCUAAAAAGAAGAAAAAGACAGGUAUAAACUACAGAAUAGAGUUUACUGUAGAGAUUAAUCAGUAAUAGUCAGGAAAUAGAAUCCCACAAUUUUGAAAAUUGUUGAAAAAUAGGAGUGAAACGUGGCUCUAAGCUAUGUAGAAGAGGGUGUCUGAGCUCCAUUCCUAGAGGCAUACAAAUGCAAUGCAAACACCCCAAGAACUGAGUAGAGAAUCCCUGAUAAGGACUUAGAAUGGUAUUUCAGUCUCAAAACUGUUUUACAAAGUUUUUAUCUACUGAAUUUACUGAACACUAAAUUUUGAAACUGUAAGGAUUUGCUGUUCAAGAGAGUAUAGUUGAAACUGUGCAUGCAUUACUUAAAAGCUUGGAUGAGUAUUAAUCUCUAGGCAUGAAAAUAGGUUUGCUAGUGAAUCGGUGGUCUUUGAAUACAUGUAGGCAGUCUGUGUAUUAAAUUUAACAGAAAUGUAGAGAGAAAUAAUAAAAAAUG